ACUAGUUUCUUAAUUGGGAGCUUGAAUGAAUGGUUGGACGAGGAAAGUAUUGUCUCAGAGGUUAUAAGUGAAUUUGACUUUUAUGUGAAAAGGCAUUAAUGAAUUGGGGGGACGAUAAGACCCUAUAAAACUUUGAUGAGAUUGGAUUUAAAACUUGAAUAUCGAAUUUAAAGAGGGUUAAAUUUUUAUAUUGUUUCGUUGGGGCGAUGGGGAUAUAAUAAAUAGUUUGUAACUGUCUUUAGAACGGAAUAGAUAUAUCUAGUUAGUGAUCUUUUAUUAAAGAUUAAGAGAAUAAGUUACUUUAGGGAUAACAGCGUAAUUUCUUUUGAGAGUUCAAAUCGACAAAGUAAGUUGCGACCUCGAUGUUGAAUUAAAAUUUCCUUUAGCUGUAGCAGGUUAAAAGGUAGGUCUGUUCGACCUUUAAAAUUUUA
RNAcentral lists this ribosomal RNA (431 nucleotides) under Bermudacaris aff. britayevi. RNAcentral describes it as "partial large subunit ribosomal RNA". It matches the Rfam family "Bacterial large subunit ribosomal RNA", at positions 1967 to 2598 of the family's 2925-position model. Lineage: Eukaryota; Metazoa; Arthropoda; Malacostraca; Decapoda; Alpheidae. The record is from RNAcentral.